GCCUCGGAGGGGGGGGGGCAAUCUAAAUGCAAUAAAGAAAGAAAGAGAAGAUUAGCAUGGCCCCUGGGCAAGGGUGACAUGAAAAAUCGUGAAGCAUGCCAAAUUUUU
This is a small nuclear RNA of Schistocerca cancellata (South American locust), 108 nucleotides long. The record is from RefSeq and is a predicted model, not a curated record. NCBI's taxonomy places the organism in Eukaryota, Metazoa, Arthropoda, Insecta, Orthoptera, Acrididae.